Molecule: ribosomal RNA, 501 nt
Filed under: Triticum aestivum (bread wheat)
Lineage: Eukaryota; Viridiplantae; Streptophyta; Magnoliopsida; Poales; Poaceae
Description: partial small subunit ribosomal RNA
Source: RNAcentral
AUGGUCAACACCACACGGGUGUACAGAGGCAAAACUUAUGGUGUUGCACCUAUGCGGUUGCCAAAGGGGACGAUGCCGGGUCGAGGCGAAAGACCGGCGACGCAGCUGCGGGCACCGGGAGGCGUGGCUCCAAUGGGCAGGGCCGGAGACGAGGUGCAGAAGGGCGGCGAGGGACUCAGCGACGGGGAUUGCCGGAAACUGCUGCUGGUGGCGCUUGUGGCCAUGGGACGCGGAAGCCAAGGUCGAAGGCGAGGCGCGCGGAAGGUCCGGGCGUGGCAUUGGCGAGUGGGUGCAGCAGCUGCUGCUGCUGCCGGCGGCAAGGUUGAGGUACUUGGUGGUGACAAAGAGAAACAGGAGGAGAGGCGCACGGGAGGAGGGAGUCCAUGGCAGAGGAGGGCGGCGUGGAAGGAACUAGCGCGGGGAGGUCCUCUCUUGUGCGCGAGCGAGGAGAGGGAGAGAUAUGGGGAACGGGCGCGGGGCCUCGCUCCUCUCCCUGGCUAA